Non-coding RNA from Triticum aestivum (bread wheat), 124 nucleotides. The record is from Rfam. Lineage: Eukaryota; Viridiplantae; Streptophyta; Magnoliopsida; Poales; Poaceae.
CUAUUACUCCCUCCGUCCGGAAAUACUUGUCGAAGAAAGGAUCAAAAUGAUUAUAUCUAGAACUAAAAUAAGUCUAGAUACAUUCAUUUCUAUGACAAGUAUUUACGGACGGAGGGAGUAUUAU